GCGGCAGGUAGGCUCGGGGAGCUCGCCAUUCCCUACACCCGAAACUGGCGACACGCGGGGAGCUGAUAACCAUGGGGACAGGGCUGCCUACACGCAGCCGGCAGCAGCAGGUCUGUGAAAGCCAUCCCUACUGGGCAGGAGCAGCAGCCCGGCCCACUGUAGGGUGGGUACGACUGCCUAACUAUCAAAUCCGCCAGGCCCGGGAGGGAGCAGCGGUACGAUAGGCUACCUGCGUUUGUAAGAGGUGGCUGGAGGGCGAACCUGCUGGAUGCUGGUUGCGUCGGAGGGGCUCGAUCCUCGUGGGGCUGCCGC
RNAcentral lists this signal recognition particle RNA (312 nucleotides) under Candidatus Bathyarchaeota archaeon. RNAcentral's name for it is "signal recognition particle sRNA". It matches the Rfam family "Archaeal signal recognition particle RNA". Lineage: Archaea; Thermoproteati; Candidatus Bathyarchaeota. The record is from RNAcentral.